RNAcentral lists this ribosomal RNA (419 nucleotides) under uncultured bacterium. RNAcentral describes it as "bacterial SSU rRNA". It matches the Rfam family "Bacterial small subunit ribosomal RNA", at positions 359 to 775 of the family's 1533-position model. The record is from RNAcentral.
GAAUAUUGGACAAUGGGCGAGAGCCUGAUCCAGCCAUGCCGCGUGCAGGAAGACGGCCCUAUGGGUUGUAAACUGCUUUUACAGAGGAAGAAACACCCCGACGUGUCGGGACUUGACGGUACUCUGCGAAUAAGGAUCGGCUAACUCCGUGCCAGCAGCCGCGGUAAUACGGAGGAUCCAAGCGUUAUCCGGAAUCAUUGGGUUUAAAGGGUCCGUAGGCGGGACAAUAAGUCAGUGGUGAAAGUCUGCAGCUUAACUGUAGAAUUGCCGUUGAAACUGUUGUUCUUGAGUAAUUAUGAAGUGGUUAGAAUAUGUAGUGUAGCGGUGAAAUGCAUAGAUAUUACAUAGAAUACCGAUUGCGAAGGCAGAUCACUAAUAAUUCACUGACGCUGAUGGACGAAAGCGUAGGUAGCGAACAG